CUUGCACCUGAUGGCGAGUGGCGAACGGGUGAGUAAUGCAUCGGAACGUGCCCAGUCGUGGGGGAUAACGCAGCGAAAGUUGUGCUAAUACCGCAUACGAUCUAUGGAUGAAAGCGGGGGACCUUCGGGCCUCGCGCGAUUGGAGCGGCCGAUGUUAGAUUAGGUAGUUGGUGGGGUAAAGGCUCACCAAGCCAACGAUCUAUAGCUGGUCUGAGAGGACGACCAGCCACACUGGAACUGAGACACGGUCCAGACUCCUACGGGAGGCAGCAGUGGGGAAUUUUGGACAAUGGGCGAAAGCCUGAUCCAGCAAUACCGCGUGCAGGAAGAAGGCCCUCGGGUUGUAAACUGCUUUUGUACGGAACGAAACGGCGCGCUCUAAUAAAGUGCGCUAAUGACGGUACCGUAAGAAUAAGCACCGGCUAACUACGUGCCAGCAGCCGCGGUAAUACGUAGGGUGCGAGCGUUAAUCGGAAUUACUGGGCGUAAAGCGUGCGCAGGCGGUUUUGUAAGACAGGCGUGAAAUCCCCGGGCUCAACCUGGGAAUUGCGCUUGUGACUGCAAGGCUAGAGUACGGUAGAGGGGGGUAGAAUUCCGCGUGUAGCAGUGAAAUGCGUAGAUAUGCGGAGGAACACCGAUGGCGAAGGCAGCCCCCUGGACCUGUACUGACGCUCAUGCACGAAAGCGUGGGGAGCAAACAGGAUUAGAUACCCUGGUAGUCCACGCCCUAAACGAUGUCAACUGGUUGUUGGGAAUUUACUUUCUCAGUA
Molecule: ribosomal RNA, 770 nt
Filed under: Betaproteobacteria bacterium
Lineage: Bacteria; Pseudomonadati; Pseudomonadota; Betaproteobacteria
Description: bacterial SSU rRNA
Rfam family: Bacterial small subunit ribosomal RNA
Source: RNAcentral